RNAcentral lists this ribosomal RNA (573 nucleotides) under Taphrina populina. RNAcentral's name for it is "eukaryotic LSU rRNA". It matches the Rfam family "Eukaryotic large subunit ribosomal RNA", at positions 62 to 648 of the family's 3401-position model. The record is from RNAcentral. Lineage: Eukaryota; Fungi; Ascomycota; Taphrinomycetes; Taphrinales; Taphrinaceae.
AAACUAACUAGGAUGCCUUCAGUAACGGCGAGCGAAGCAGGCAUAGCUCAAAUUUGUAAUCUGGCGUCUUUGGCGUCCGAGUUGUAUUUUCUAGAAGCGAGUUCGGCGACAGCUCCUACCCAAGUCCGUUGGAACGCGGCGUCAUGGAGGGUGAGAAUCCCGUGAAUGGUAGGAUGUCUGCUGCUAUGUGAACCGCCUUCGAAGAGUCGAGUUGUUUGGGAAUGCAGCUCUAAAUGGGAGGUAAAUUUCUUCUAAAGCUAAAUAUUGGCCAGAGACCGAUAGCGAACAAGUAGAGUGAUCGAAAGAUGAAAAGAACUUUGAAAAGAGAGUUAAACAGUACGUGAAAUUGUUGAAAGGGAAGCGCUUGAGAUCAGACUUCCUGUCUAAACUGUCCUUGCUUUUGCUUGGAAUCACAGUUUAGGCGUGGAGGCCAGCAUGAGUUUUGACGGCCGGACAAAGGCUUUGGGAAGGUAGCUCCUCUCGAGGAGUGUUAUAGCCCAGAGUGUAAUACGGCCAGUUGGGACUGAGGACCGCGGCUUUGCCUAGGAUGCUGGCGUAAUGGUCUUAAGCGAC